AUUGAACGCUAGCGGGAUGCUUUACACAUGCAAGUCGAACGGCAGCGCGGACUUCGGUCUGGCGGCGAGUGGCGAACGGGUGAGUAAUGUAUCGGAACGGGCCUAGUAGCGGGGGAUAACUACGCGAAAGCGUAGCUAAUACCGCAUACGCCCUACGGGGGAAAGCAGGGGAUCGUAAGACCUUGCACUAUUGGAGCGGCCGAUAUCGGAUUAGCUAGUUGGUGAGGUAACGGCUCACCAAGGCGACGAUCCGUAGCUGGUUUGAGAGGACGACCAGCCACACUGGGACUGAGACACGGCCCAGACUCCUACGGGAGGCAGCAGUGGGGAAUUUUGGACAAUGGGGGCAACCCUGAUCCAGCCAUCCCGCGUGUGCGAUGAAGGCCUUCGGGUUGUAAAGCACUUUUGGCAGGAAAGAAACGUCGCGGGCUAAUACCCCGUGGAACUGACGGUACCUGCAGAAUAAGCACCGGCUAACUACGU
RNAcentral lists this ribosomal RNA (483 nucleotides) under uncultured bacterium. Its description in RNAcentral is "partial 16S ribosomal RNA". It matches the Rfam family "Bacterial small subunit ribosomal RNA", at positions 30 to 506 of the family's 1533-position model. The record is from RNAcentral.